UAUCUCUGUAGAGUCUGCAUAUCAAUAAGCGGAGGAAAAGAAACUAACAAGGAUUCCCUUAGUAACGGCGAGUGAAGCGGGAAGAGCUCAAAUUUGAAAUCUUCAAGGUUCUACCUUGACGAAUUGUAGUUUAAAGAAGUGUUUUCUGUUAGAUGAGUAGCAAAAGUUCCUUGGAAUGGGACAUCAUAGAGGGUGAGAAUCCCAGUAUUUGGUUAUUCAUUCUAGCUUUGUGAUACACUUUCAAAGAGUCGGAUUGUUUGGGAAUGCAGUCCAAAAUGGGUGGUAAAUUUCAUCUAAAGCUAAAUAUUGGCGAGAGACCGAUAGCGAACAAGUACCGUGAGGGAAAGAUGAAAAGAACUUUGAAAAGAGAGUUAAACAGUACGUGAAAUUGUCAAAAGGGAAGCGUUUGACACCAGUGUUGUUUUCUCGAAAAUCAAUUAAAAAUGGCAGUGAUUUUGUGUUGUAUUGACCUUAUAAGCUUUCUGCACUCUUUUCAUGUCUUUUUUAAUGCACUUUUCGUUUAACAAGUCAACAUCAAUUUCUUUUGUUGUAAAAAGGGUCAUUGGAAGGUGGCUUUCUUUUCGGAGAAAGUGUUUAUAGCCUUUGACUUCUGCAAUCGGAGAGACUGAGGUCUGCAGCGUAGAUCCUUCGGGAUUAGAUUACAUUUGUGCUAAGUUACAUAGCCUUUCAUAGACAACUUGUUGACUAUAUUCAGUCCUGUUAGCUUACUCGCUUAUGCUAUUUUACCUACGCUUAGGAUGUUGAAGAUGUAGCACAUCAU
RNAcentral lists this ribosomal RNA (781 nucleotides) under uncultured Neocallimastigales. Its description in RNAcentral is "partial large subunit ribosomal RNA". It matches the Rfam family "Eukaryotic large subunit ribosomal RNA", at positions 24 to 634 of the family's 3401-position model. Lineage: Eukaryota; Fungi; Neocallimastigomycota; Neocallimastigomycetes; Neocallimastigales. The record is from RNAcentral.